Molecule: long non-coding RNA, 539 nt
Organism: Ipomoea triloba (trilobed morning glory)
Lineage: Eukaryota; Viridiplantae; Streptophyta; Magnoliopsida; Solanales; Convolvulaceae
Exons: 2
Source: RefSeq, a predicted model, not a curated record
AUUGUAAGUUCUCAAGAAGGUUGUCCAUGCUUUGCAAUUUCCGGUAUGGCCAUCGUUUAAUUCCCAAUUUUGUACACAUUCUCUUCAACUUAUCUUCACUUACAUUGAGCUCCCUUGCUGCUUGGGCUGCGGGUACAACUGGAGGCGCCUCAAGUGAAACAUCGUUCUGGCCACAUAGCAUGUCAUUCACAAGACCCCAGUCGAAAUCUAAUUGUUCGGCGGAGCAACAACUUUGUUGAAUUUGGUGUAAAGUUUUACCUGUUGUAGAUGAAGUUGGAUUAUUGAAGUGAUAAUCCAAGGGGUGGUUUUCAGCAUGAUUAAAAAAAGGACGGUAAUCUUGUUCAGGAGAAGAAAUAGGAAUUUCUUUAUCAUCCUCAUCCUCUAACUUCAAGAGUUUUAUUCGAGGCCAUCGGGAAAUUCCUAAUAUCCUGCACCUAUUCUUUAAUGUUGUGACACCAACCUUUAAUUGUACCGCUGCUUCACUAAUCGGAAGAUGGAAAUAACUUGAGAUCAUUUCCUUAGUGAUCGUUCUUGAAUCA